Molecule: ribosomal RNA, 492 nt
Filed under: uncultured bacterium
Lineage: Bacteria
Description: partial 16S ribosomal RNA
Rfam family: Bacterial small subunit ribosomal RNA
Source: RNAcentral
AGUGAACGCUGGCGGUAGGCCUAACACAUGCAAGUCGAACGGCAGCACAGUAAGAGCUUGCUCUUACGGGUGGCGAGUGGCGGACGGGUGAGGAAUACAUCGGAAUCUACUUUUUCGUGGGGGAUAACGUAGGGAAACUUACGCUAAUACCGCAUACGACCUACGGGUGAAAGCAGGGGAUCUUCGGACCUUGCGCGAUUGAAUGAGCCGAUGUCGGAUUAGCUAGUUGGCGGGGUAAAGGCCCACCAAGGCGACGAUCCGUAGCUGGUCUGAGAGGAUGAUCAGCCACACUGGAACUGAGACACGGUCCAGACUCCUACGGGAGGCAGCAGUGGGGAAUAUUGGACAAUGGGUGCAAGCCUGAUCCAGCCAUACCGCGUGGGUGAAGAAGGCCUUCGGGUUGUAAAGCCCUUUUGUUGGGAAAGAAAAGCGGCAGGUUAAUACCCCGCUGUUCUGACGGUACCCAAAGAAUAAGCACCGGCUAACUUCGUG